CCAAGCCACGGAGCACGGGUUCACACGCUGGCCUCUGCUGAAGGCUGGAGAGCAGUCUCAUGGGGUGGCUGCACUCUUUGCCCAGUUUAACUCCCCGCCAGGGUAAUAAGAGGUUACUUUGAGCACUGAGUGUAAACUGAAUCCAAGUGCCAGCUUUGCCACAAAUAUAUUUGAUGAUGGUGCAGCUCCCGUGGCAAAAGAACAAGGUUGCUAUCUUAAGACACCUGCACUUCCCCUCACCUGGAGCCAUUUGGCAGUGGGAAGCCUGCAGAUCUACUUGCGUCAGAGUUACUGAGCAAGAACUUGAGUAUGAAAAAGCCUGAAUUGUUGAAAACAAGGUGGGGGUGGGGUGUUUUGGUUUAUUCCCCCUCCUACCACUCAGUUCCCAAAGUUUCAAGGUAGGAAAGGGAAGUGCUUUCGUCACAAGCAACGUUUUCCGCUGUGAGUUUCAGAUGAGUUGGGCAUUUCACUCCCCUGCUCCCAUGGGAAUCCUCAGGUAAACAGACAUGUCUUGUCUGCAGCGGUGCUCCGAUGUACAGCGGCUGGGAGCAGAGGAAGGACAAACCUCCUGACUUUAUUUUUGCUGGGGGUGUAAAAUGAGCCAAGGCUUUCUGCAGUCACUAUUCUAUACAUAUCUUUUGGGUCUGAUGCUAUUUUUGUUGGCUGUGACCCUGGAGGUGUAGGUGUGGAAGUGCCUUUCUGCUGCUCUCUGCAUGCGGGUGUAGAUGUUUCCUCUGUUCCAGGCACCUCCUCAGACUCUGUGGCCUUUCAGGGGGAGUAGGCGGAUGUCGGCGUGGCCUUUCCCCACCUGUCUGUAACUUUUUAAUACUUCUUUUUAUUUUGGCCUUGCGCUUCUUCCAUGGAACAUCUCUGGGUAGCCACUGGGAGGUGUAAAUGGCUUGAGAUGGAAACCACAGCUUGUAGGUGCGCCCUCUGCCAGGCUUUUCUGGCACCCGAGGAAGUCAGGUCUGUGCCUGCUCCCAAGCAAAAGGGAUAUUACCAGCUGCUCGGUGAGAAAACAAAUUCACAGAGAUACAGGAAAGUGUGUUAAGGUGGUGGGAAGCAACGGGAGUGAGAUUCCUGGCAGCUCGGUAGCUCAGAUGUUGGACUACCUCUGGGGGAAGUGAGGGGAAGGCAGGAGGUGGAGGUAAUGCGUGGCCUCUUCUGAAGUGUCACAUGGAUGUGACUAGCCUGCCACAAAUUUAGCUCCGGUGGCACUGACAAGACACUGCAGUGGAAAAAGCAGAGAUGUCCUUUUAAGCAGACGCAGGGACAGCAAGCCCAUGCAAGUGUUUAGCUGUUUGUCAUGACUGCUCAGCAGGCUGGCCUAGCCACGUCCUGGGGUCUGUCCAGCUGCACCCAGACACAUGCAGCCUGUGCUGAGGGUGGGUGCAGGGCUGAGACACACGCCAGUGUGGCAGUAGGUUUGAGGGGCUGGAGGAGAAGACCAUCACCAGGACCAGCUGCUGCAUGGGUGUGGAAAGUGAAGGCGCCCGACCAGCAACAUCUGUCUCCCUGCUUGUGACCUGGGUGUGGGGCUGUUACUUUACCCCAGCUCCGUGGCAGUGCAGUCCCCAGCUGGGGUCUGCACAUCCUGUCUGGACACAAGGACAAGCAGGAAAGCCCAAGAGCCUCCUCACACUGCGCCACAGAUCUCCCUUGCUGCUGCACCCACCACCUCCUGCAGAGAAAUCUCUCUUGUUAGGGGUGUGCCUGUUCUCAGUGAAGUUGCAAACCCUCUAGGGCAAGGCGCAAGACUCGUCUGAUCUCCUCCCUGAACAUGCCACAAGUGCGUGAAGCUAGAGGAGGGAUUUCCAUCCUGCCCGUGUGGUAAUGGGAGCUGAGGAGGUGCCCAGCCUGGAUGCAGCAAGGCGAGGUAUGGAGUGAGAUGUGUUUCUCAUCAGUGGUGGAGCAGAGCCACGAAGCUGCUGUUGGGGAGACUGCAGUUCUAUCCUGCCCCAUCCCCUCCCUGUGGAGAGUCCACAUCCAUGGGACAGCCUGUGCAGCCAGGUGCCAGCAUCCUCUUUCCUCCAGCUCUCAGCUGGGCACAUGGUGGUCCUGAGGUCCCCAGCAUCCCUGCUGGGCCCAGCCUCAGGAGCGAAUUAUUGUGUGCAGCAAAGGCACAGCUUCAAAUAGGUGUCCUUAACCUGGCCUAAUCUGCACAGGGCUCUGUGCCUGCCGGGGCAGAGGGAAGUCAACUAUAUCUCACCUCCAUAAAUUGUUGUUCAGAUUAAGGGAAGUGCCAGAAGCUUUAAAGAGGCUGUUGGCAGAUUCCAGAAAAAAAGAAACAAGUGACACCUGCUGCACAUCAAAACAGCAAUUACCUUUGUAUCAGUAAGAUGGUUAAUGCAUGUAACAAGUGGCUGGAGAUAUGGAAGGGCAUAGAUCUCAGAAACCAGGACAAAAUCAGUUUUUUCAAAUCCUGCAUCCAUGGUCCUGAGCUGAUAUACAAGCAAGAUGAUAAUGCAGCACAGUGGUUUUUGUUGGCCUCUGCCUGUUUCCAGCCACAGCAGCCCUGGCUGCUGAUUAUUCAGCAGACAUUAACCAGUGGAAUGUUUCCGUGAUUUUUUUCUCAAAUAAAGAAUGCUGGGAAAAAUGCUUUCAUAUUUUUAUUUUCUUUUUUGAGAAAGUCUAAGACAACUCCGGAGCCUUUCAGAUCAUGACAUUUAUAUGACAUGCGGUGCUGGUGUCAGAAAUUGUUGCUUGCUGUGCUGGUGGCCACUUACUUCCAACAGGCUCAGCUGUAACCUUCUGAAAAAUACCAUUUUGUCCUUUCACAGUGGAGCUUGUCAUAACCUUAUUUCCAAACACAUGGGUUGCACUCCACACAUCUUACAGCUCCGUGAGAUAUUUGCAUUAGGGAGGCAGCUUGCUUUCCCGCCUAUCCCGUUCCAUCAAAACACACUUUUAGCCCCAGGCAGGAAGCCAAGGUCAAGUCUCCUUUUCUUUUUUUUUUUUUGUUCCUCUUGCCUGCUCUGAAUGCAUGAUAAUACAGACUUCAGCUCCAUUAUUAUAUCUUUUCCCACAAGACCGUUGCCUCAUUCAGACCUCAGCAGGGAACAUGUUUUCACCUCUGCCAGCUGGGCAUGGCUGGAGAGCCCUAUGCCCGUAGGAGCUCCAAGGGGGAGGACACGGAGGUGAGGCUUUGCAGAGAGGAUAGAGGAGUUUGGUUAGCUCCAGAUCUGGUAGGGCAUUUCCAGGGAGCCUCUCCCACUGCCUCCCUUGUCAGGCCAGUAAUGAAGAAUGUCAAUGACGAUGGGAUUCCUCUCAUCUCUUUUUAAGUGCCUAAAAGUUAGGUGUCUAAUCCUAAUUAGUUAGACAGGCUUCCUGCAUAGCCAAUGGAGACAAAUAGGCACCUCCAGUGUAUGAUUCAUUUCACAUAUCUUGAAGUUUAUCUUGAGAAGGGCUGACUCACCUGACAGCCAAGCACCCGCUUCUCUUCUGUGGCUGUAAAGGCAGAUCGGCAACUUGCUGAGGAUUUGACAGCUACGUUUUGGGUGUCCCAAGCGGGCAAGGUGAGUCCUACUGCCAGCUGCGGCA
Passer montanus (Eurasian tree sparrow) is the source of this 3540-nucleotide long non-coding RNA. RefSeq lists it as uncharacterized. The record is from RefSeq and is a predicted model, not a curated record. The transcript has 3 exons. NCBI's taxonomy places the organism in Eukaryota, Metazoa, Chordata, Aves, Passeriformes, Passeridae.